GAUGAACGCUGGCGGCGUGCCUAAUACAUGCAAGUCGAGCGAACAGACGAGGAGCUUGCUCCUCUGACGUUAGCGGCGGACGGGUGAGUAACACGUGGAUAACCUACCUAUAAGACUGGGAUAACUUCGGGAAACCGGAGCUAAUACCGGAUAAUAUAUUGAACCGCAUGGUUCAAUAGUGAAAGACGGUUUUGCUGUCACUUAUAGAUGGAUCCGCGCCGCAUUAGCUAGUUGGUAAGGUAACGGCUUACCAAGGCAACGAUGCGUAGCCGACCUGAGAGGGUGAUCGGCCACACUGGAACUGAGACACGGUCCAGACUCCUACGGGAGGCAGCAGUAGGGAAUCUUCCGCAAUGGGCGAAAGCCUGACGGAGCAACGUCGCGUGAGUGAUGAAGGUCUUCGGAUCGUAAAACUCUGUUAUUAGGGAAGAACAAAUGUGUAAGUAACUGUGCACGUCUUGACGGUACCUAAUCAGAAAGCCACGGCUAACUACGUG
RNAcentral lists this ribosomal RNA (497 nucleotides) under uncultured bacterium. Its description in RNAcentral is "partial 16S ribosomal RNA". It matches the Rfam family "Bacterial small subunit ribosomal RNA", at positions 28 to 507 of the family's 1533-position model. The record is from RNAcentral.